GUGCUCGCUUCAGCAGCACACAUACUAAAAUUGGAAUGAUACAGAGAAGAUUAGCACAGCCCCUGCACAAGGAUGACAUGCAAAUUCGUGAAGCAUUCCAUAUUUAU
This 107-nucleotide small nuclear RNA is filed under the name Puma concolor (puma). RNAcentral also lists the same sequence under 2 other names. The record is from RNAcentral. Lineage: Eukaryota; Metazoa; Chordata; Mammalia; Carnivora; Felidae.